Molecule: long non-coding RNA, 1109 nt
Organism: Nymphaea colorata (pocket water lily)
Lineage: Eukaryota; Viridiplantae; Streptophyta; Magnoliopsida; Nymphaeales; Nymphaeaceae
Exons: 3
Source: RefSeq, a predicted model, not a curated record
UUUUUCCUUCUCUUUCCUCUCGUGAAACCUCUGCUAGGGUUUCGUCCACCUCGCCUCCACCACUGUCGCUGCUUGAACCAACGCCGCCGCUACCACGAGGAAGGUGACCUCCUUUGCUUCUACCGCAAGGAAGAUGACCGAAGUUGCGGACAGCAAGCAGCAAGCAUCCUUGGACAUUUUCAUGCUAGAAUAGGGUUUGGGUCAUUGCGAGGAGGGUAUCUGAAGCUUCUGCAGGUGAGUAACAAUGCCUGCUGAAGCACCUCGGCUAGACACGACAAGCAAAAACGGCCGGCUGAGCACUACACCCGGUCAGGGCCUUUUAUUCUGGUGCUUGGGUCAUUGCCAGAAAAGAAGCAGUAAGGUUUUGGGUCCGUCAAAAGGAACAAUGGUGAAAAACUCCAGCUAUUGCAAGAAACAACGAGGUCUCAUCCAGAAGCACAUGCAGCAGCGACCCUCAAGCUCUCUGCUUAGGUUUCGGUCGCUGUGGUACAAGGAUGACAAAACAUAAGGCUUCCAAAAAAGGUGAUCUGGGGAGUCUGCGCUUUCGCGCGUUUGCCAGAUCAAGCGCAUCAGUGGGCUCUCCGACAGUAGUAAACUCCUGGGUUAGGCAUAUGUGAUCGGCUCUGAGUCUACGCAGCAUGUUCACCAGUGGCGUAUCCAAUGUGAAGAAGGCAGUAGCAACACCGACUAUAACACGUGGAGAAGAAGAGGAAGAAGAAAAAUGGAAGCAGAGGUGAUGUUCACGGGUUUGCUUCUAUGAGGCGCUGACUUGGGAGAAAGACAACCAACCCUAAAUCAGAGUAUUGCUGGGCAUUUAUAGGCCAGCCUCGUAGGUUUUCCCGAUGCCCAACGGGCGGUUAUGCCUUGUGAGAGAAUGAUUCAGAGGACCUGGCAUCGAAGAUGACGAUUGAUCGGGGUGAGGUGAAAGGCGGUCUAUAUGUUCUUCAGCAAGGACCAAUGCGUGCUCACACUUAUUUUUCUCUUUCAUUGCAUGAACUUUGGCAUAAGAGAUUAUGUCUUAUUUCAUCUUCUCGUCUAAAAUUAGUGAACAGAAAUUCAGAUUUAAGUCAUUUUUUGAAUAAUGAUUAUAUGUGAUGUGUGCCAUCGUG